RNAcentral lists this non-coding RNA (264 nucleotides) under Lacrimispora saccharolytica. RNAcentral's name for it is "Clostridium saccharolyticum T-box sequence". It matches the Rfam family "T-box leader". From Rfam's summary of the family: Uncharged tRNA acts as the effector for transcription antitermination of genes in the T-box leader family. T-boxes are found upstream of many aminoacyl-tRNA synthetase genes and some amino acid biosynthetic genes usually in Gram-positive bacteria. Lineage: Bacteria; Bacillati; Bacillota; Clostridia; Lachnospirales; Lachnospiraceae. The record is from RNAcentral.
AAUAAACUGAUGAGCAGGAGUAAGUAAGAUCUUUCCAUCAUGCACAGAGAGCUUCCGGUCGGUGGGAGGAAGCGUUGAUGUCUGAUCUGAAUGGACCUGCGAGGGCGGCUUGAAACCGGAUUCAUUUCGGAAGUAGGUGUCGACGGGUUUCCUAUCCGUUAUCAAGGGGAGGCACAUGUUGGUGUGCUGUUAAGCGGGAGAAGUCUAUCUUCUCCAAUCAGGGUGGUACCACGGAACCGGAACUUUCAGGCUUUCGUCCCUCUU